Molecule: ribosomal RNA, 468 nt
Filed under: uncultured bacterium
Lineage: Bacteria
Description: partial 16S ribosomal RNA
Rfam family: Bacterial small subunit ribosomal RNA
Source: RNAcentral
GACGAACGCUGGCGGUGUGCUUAACACAUGCAAGUCGAACGGAAAGGCUCUGCUUCUGUGGGGUGAUCGAGUGGCGAACGGGUGAGUAACACGUGAGUAACCUGCCCUUGACUUUGGGAUAACUUCAGGAAACUGGGGCUACUACCGGAUAGGAGCUCCUGCUGCAUGGUGGGGGUUGGAAAGUUUCGGCGGUUGGGGAUGGACUCGCGGCGUAUCAGCUUGUUGGUGGGGUAGUGGCUUACCAAGGCUUUGACGGGUAGCCGGCCUGAGAGGGUGACCGGCCACAUUGGGACUGAGGUACGGCGCAGACUCCUACGGGAGGCAGCAGUGGGGAAUAUUGCACAAUGGUCGGAAGCCUGAUGCAGCAGCGCCGCGUGCGGGAUGACGGCCGUCGGGUUGUAGACCGCUUUCGCCUGUGACGAAGCGUGAGUGACGGUAAUUGGUAAAGAAGCACCGGCUAACUACGUG